GAUCAUGGCUCAGGAUGAACGCUAGCUACAGGCUUAACACAUGCAAGUCGAAGGGGAAACGACAUCGAAAGCUUGCUUUUGAUGGGCGUCGACCGGCGCACGGGUGAGUAACGCGUAUCCCAACCUGCCCACCACUGGGGAUAACCUUGCGAAAGUAAGACUAAUACCCAAUGAUAUCUCUAGAAGACAUCUGAAAGGGAUUAAAGAUUUAUCGGUGAUGGAUGGGGAUGCGUCUGAUUAGCUUGUUGGCGGGGUAACGGCCCACCAAGGCGACGAUCAGUAGGGGUUCUGAGAGGAAGGUCCCCCACAUUGGAACUGAGACACGGUCCAAACUCCUACGGGAGGCAGCAGUGAGGAAUAUUGGUCAAUGGGCGAGAGCCUGAACCAGCCAAGUAGCGUGCAGGAUGACGGCCCUAUGGGUUGUAAACUGCUUUUAUAAGGGAAUAAAGUGAGAGUCGUGACUCUUUUUGCAUGUACCUUAUGAAUAAGGACCGGCUAAUUCCGUG
RNAcentral lists this ribosomal RNA (506 nucleotides) under uncultured bacterium. Its description in RNAcentral is "bacterial SSU rRNA". It matches the Rfam family "Bacterial small subunit ribosomal RNA", at positions 15 to 507 of the family's 1533-position model. The record is from RNAcentral.